Molecule: ribosomal RNA, 434 nt
Filed under: uncultured Lachnospiraceae bacterium
Lineage: Bacteria; Bacillati; Bacillota; Clostridia; Lachnospirales; Lachnospiraceae
Description: partial 16S ribosomal RNA
Rfam family: Bacterial small subunit ribosomal RNA
Source: RNAcentral
ACGGGAGGCAGCAGUGGGGAAUUUUGGACAAUGGGGGAAACCCUGAUCCAGCGACGCCGCGUGAGUGAAGAAGUACUUCGGUAUGUAAAGCUCUAUCAGCAGGGAAGAUAAUGACGGUACCUGACUAAGAAGCUCCGGCUAACUACGUGCCAGCAGCCGCGGUAAUACGUAGGGGGCAAGCGUUAUCCGGAUUUACUGGGUGUAAAGGGAGCGUAGACGGAAGGCCAAGUCUGAUGUGAAAACCCAGGGCUCAACCCUGGGACAGCAUUGGAAACUGGUCAUCUAGAGUGCAGGAGGGGUAAGCGGAAUUCCUAGUGUAGCGGUGAAAUGCGUAGAUAUUAGGAGGAACACCGGUGGCGAAGGCGGCUUACUGGGCUGUAACUGACGUUGAGGCUCGAAAGCGUGGGGAGCAAACAGGAUUAGAUACCCUGGUA